AGCUCGGUAGCUUAGUUGGUAAAGCACUUGUCUAGCCUUUAAGGGUCGUGAGUUCAAAUCGCACAUGAGCUG
This is a non-coding RNA of Aedes albopictus (Asian tiger mosquito), 72 nucleotides long. NCBI's taxonomy places the organism in Eukaryota, Metazoa, Arthropoda, Insecta, Diptera, Culicidae. The record is from Rfam.